Molecule: ribosomal RNA, 694 nt
Filed under: uncultured bacterium
Lineage: Bacteria
Description: bacterial SSU rRNA
Rfam family: Bacterial small subunit ribosomal RNA
Source: RNAcentral
GUAGAUAUAUGGAGGAACNCCGGUGGCGAAAGCGGCUCUCUGGCUUGUAACUGACGCUGAGGCUCGAAAGCGUGGGGAGCAAACAGGAUUAGAUACCNUGGUAGUCCACGCCGUAAACGAUGAGUGCUAGGUGUUAGACCCUUUCCGGGGUUUAGUGCCGCAGCUAACGCAUUAAGCACUCCGCCUGGGGAGUACGACCGCAAGGUUGAAACUCAAAGGAAUUGACGGGGGCCCGCACAAGCGGUGGAGCAUGUGGUUUAAUUCGAAGCAACGCGAAGGACCUUACCAGGUCUUGACAUCCCUCUGACCGCUCUAGAGAUAGAGUUUUCCUUCGGGACAGAGGUGACAGGUGGUGCAUGGUUGACGUCAGCUCGUGUCGUGAGAUGUUGGGUUAAGUCNNGCAACGAGCGCAACCCCUAUUGUUAGUUGCCAUCAUUUAGUUGGGCACUCUAGCGAGACUGCCGGUAAUAAACCGGAGGAAGGUGGGGAUGACGUCAAAUCAUCAUGCCCCUUAUGACCUGGGCUACACACGUGCUACAAUGGCUGGUACAACGAGUCGCAAGCCGGUGACGGCAAGCUAAUCUCUUAAAGCCAGUCUCAGUUCGGAUUGUAGGCUGCAACUCGCCUACAUGAAGUCGGAAUCGCUAGUAAUCGCGGAUCAGCACGCCGCGGUGAAUACGUUCCCGGGCCUUGU